This is a long non-coding RNA of Homo sapiens (human), 338 nucleotides long. Lineage: Eukaryota; Metazoa; Chordata; Mammalia; Primates; Hominidae. The record is from Ensembl.
GCCCUGCCUGCCAACCAGGAUGACAACCCUUCACCUGCCAGGUGGAGAGAGACAGCAGCAGGCUAACUAGUUGUCUGUUAAGAACAUCCAGAGCAGGACCAGAAUCUGGGCCAGGAACUGAGAGACAGAUUGGGACAACGGAACAAAUCUACCAGGGUACUAUCAGAUGGAGGAACAUGUAGUUUGUGGUCAGUGACCUCAGGUUCUCACAUUCACGGUGCUGCAUCCUGGUUUUCAUUUGGGGACUGUUUUCUGGCACUCCCGCCUGUCUGGAGGUGAGAUAUGCUUGUUAUGACAACCCUUCUGUCACAAUAAAUUGGCUGGUGCAUUCAGUGUCA